This 45-nucleotide non-coding RNA is filed under the name Trichobilharzia regenti. The record is from RNAcentral. Lineage: Eukaryota; Metazoa; Platyhelminthes; Trematoda; Strigeidida; Schistosomatidae.
AUCCAAAUGACGAUUCCCAAAUGGGAAGAAAUGCGCAUCCUGGAU